AGGCAGGACCCUCACGUGGUCAGGCAGCGUGGGACUAUCUCCAGUAGUCGCUCCAGGAAGCGUGCAAGUGGUGUACGAAGUUCGAUCUGUGCAUCUUUCUAGUUAGGAACUGAGUAAUUUCUUCUACUCAACUGUACUUGUAAUCUAAAUUCAGUAGAUGCUCUGUAUCGCCCUGAUAGAUUUUACUUGUGAGGCCGGAGGCCACUUUAGUGACUUGUAAAAUUGUGAAAGCAUGCUGUUGGUUGGGAUUUU
Prunus dulcis (almond) is the source of this 252-nucleotide long non-coding RNA. RefSeq lists it as uncharacterized. The record is from RefSeq and is a predicted model, not a curated record. The transcript is spliced from 2 exons. NCBI's taxonomy places the organism in Eukaryota, Viridiplantae, Streptophyta, Magnoliopsida, Rosales, Rosaceae.